RNAcentral lists this ribosomal RNA (484 nucleotides) under uncultured bacterium. RNAcentral describes it as "partial 16S ribosomal RNA". It matches the Rfam family "Bacterial small subunit ribosomal RNA", at positions 30 to 507 of the family's 1533-position model. The record is from RNAcentral.
AUUGAACGCUGGCGGCAGGCCUAACACAUGCAAGUCGAACGGCAGAAGAGUGCUUGCUCGUGGUUACAGGGGGGGAGGGGCGGGCGAUGCCUAGGUACAUCCCUGGCUGCUGGUGAUAACGUGCUGACGCGGGCGCAAAUACGGCAUACGUGCAGACGACGUACGGGUGGGAGCAUCGGAUCUUAGGACCUCACACGAUUGUAUGUCGGAUUAGCUAGUUGGCGGGGUAAAGGCCUACCAAGGCGACGAUCCGUAGCUGGUCUGAGAGGAUGAUCAGUCACACUGGAGCUGAGACACGGUCCAGACUCCUACGGGAGGCAGCAGUGGGGAAUAUUGGACAAUGGGCGAAAGCCUGAUCCAGCCAUGCCGCGUGUGUGAAGAAGGUCUUCGGAUUGUAAAGCACUUUAGGUUGGGAAGAAGAGCAGUAAGUUAAUACCUUGCUGUUUUGACGGUACCAAAAGAAUAAGCACCGGCUAACUUCGUG